This is a long non-coding RNA of Neofelis nebulosa (Clouded leopard), 1114 nucleotides long. RefSeq lists it as uncharacterized. The transcript has 4 exons. Lineage: Eukaryota; Metazoa; Chordata; Mammalia; Carnivora; Felidae. The record is from RefSeq and is a predicted model, not a curated record.
AGGGGCUGCAGGCAGUGCCACCCCACAGAAUGGGGAAGGGUUUCGGAACUGUAGAAGGGAGCUUCUUAGAAAGCAAGACACCUGUCUGGGACUGGAAUUUUGCAUACUACUUGGAAGACUAAAAUACCUACUUGCUAGAGUCUAGAGAGAUGGGGUGUGUGUGCAUACGUGUGCAUCAGAAGGAAAUACAGAAGAACAAUAAGAAUGUCUAACGUCUAACAUCUGACCACCUACCUGCCUCUUCCAAGCUCGGGCCCUGGGUCCAGCAGCCUACAACACAACAAAAUGCUGUUUUUUGAAAACGCCAAGAAUAAACAAGAUACAAUGGGCUUUGUAAAGGGAAGGAAAAGAAAAUAAGCGCUGCACCCAAAUGCCAACAUCACAGAUUGAAUAGAAUUGUCCCAGGUUUUAUGACUGUUUCAUCCCUAGCUUGAAAAAUACUGUAUAUUUUUUGUCACCAAGGCUAAUUUCAUAUACUUUGUACGUUUCUCCUGUAUUCCUGGUAGAUGAGAAGCCUUCAUAAAGUUUGAGAUGGGGGGACCUUAGAAAUAACUCAAUACAAUGCCUUCAUUUUACUGAUGGGGACAGUCUGAACCAAAGAGGUGAAGCCACUUGCCUGGAGAGACAUGGAACCCUGGAGUAGCUGCGGAGUAAGGCAUGGGACUUCCACUUCCCACACCAAUGCUCCUUCUGCCAAACCACACCACCUUUUACUAGAAGAUCAUCAUUAGAACCUACUUUGCCUUUUUCUUUUCUUUCCGCAUAACUCCAGGCUACUAGACUUUCAAUCAUUUUUAUGAUCUUUCAACUAACCAGUAAGAUUUUGGCAUGGCGUAAGAUCACAGGUAACUUUUCAAUAAAAUAUAAAACCAUCAGUUCAUUUGCCCAUAAUGGCAUCUAUUGUUCUAGCUCUCUAGCUUUACUAGUUUUCUGUUCCUCUUAAUAAAAAUAGUCCUUUGCUGCUAUUUUCUGUUUGAAAACCAAACUCUCAUACAUAUUUCUGGUUUUUGCUCUUUUCCUACUCCUUUUCAUGUGCUACAGAUCAGACUGCUAAGAUUUCUGAAGCCUGACACAAGAAUCGCUUAGUGCUCAAUCCCGCUGCCUUACUGCCUGU